This 436-nucleotide ribosomal RNA is filed under the name uncultured bacterium. Its description in RNAcentral is "bacterial SSU rRNA". It matches the Rfam family "Bacterial small subunit ribosomal RNA", at positions 29 to 507 of the family's 1533-position model. The record is from RNAcentral.
AACGAACGCUGGCGGCAUGCCUAACACAUGCAAGUCGAACGAGACCUUCGGGUCUAGUGGCGCACGGGUGCGUAACGCGUGGGAAUCUGCCCUUAGGUUCGGAAUAACUUCGGGAAACUGAAGCUAAUACCGGAUGAUGACGUAAGUCCAAAGAUUUAUCGCCUAAGGAUGAGCCCGCGUUGGAUUAGCUAGUUGGUGAGGUAAAGGCUCACCAAGGCGACGAUCCAUAGCUGGUCUGAGAGGAUGAUCAGCCACACUGGGACUGAGACACGGCCCAGACUCCUACGGGAGGCAGCAGUGGGGAAUAUUGGACAAUGGGCGAAAGCCUGAUCCAGCAAUGCCGCGUGAGUGAUGAAGGCCUUAGGGUUGUAAAGCUCUUUUACCCGAGAUGAUAAUGAACAGUAAUCGGGAGGAAUAAGCUCCGGCUAACUCCGUG